UUCAGCUAUUGCUUUGAGCGUUUAAACGAGUGGUUAUAGUUGCCUGACCUGCAUACAUAUUUUAAAAGCGGUGUAAAUAAGGAAGUGAAAAAUUGAGGGUCAAAACGUUUUGACAGUCACACAGUGACUGACCGUGUCCCAGCCUCUGCUAAGAAGGAAGUUAAUCAGACAAGUAGAAAAACAGCGAUAGCAGCCAGAGGCAGAUCAGAGGGAUGAAACCUGGAAUUGUCACGGAACCUUUUGCCCUUAUCAUUUUAGUUUUAAAAUAAUAAACACCCCCCACCUCACCUGCCCCAAAUCACCAACUAGAUAUUCUAUACCUUCUGUGCUUCUCUCGCAAUUUUUUCAUGCUUCAUAGUUCUCCCCUUCCCCCAGCUUACUUUUCCUCGUUGUCCCCUAUUUCUUCCUUGUUUAAUUUCAUUAGGCUCCUGGGGAUGCAGCACCGUGGCUUUAAAAAGCUGUUCUGCUUGUUCUAGUGGCAGUUUCUGUUUAUUCAUAUCGUGGGUCUUGUGGUUUGUGAGCCAAAGUUUGGUGUAACCCUUACUGGCUUAUUUGCAGAGAGUUUACUGCUGCUAAAAAAAAUAGGUUGGGCUUCUUUCCAAAUAUUUUUCAUCUAUGAAUAGUAUUUCUAUAUUAAAAAUCAUUAAAAUGUUUAAAUCGUGUUAUUAUUGUGCUGUAAGGAAAGGAGGUUGUGCAAAAUCGUAUCAUAAAAUCUGUAAAUACAUCCCAGGAUAUUGCCCACACUUCUUAAAAAGCAUUUCUUUAAAAGUUAAGUAUAUAUUUUGGUGUGUGGGAAUGGACUUGUUUCACUUCACGACAGAUCUCAGGCGUUUGAGGUAGAUUAUUUUCUUUUAAAGAUGUAAUUGCCAAAGAUGAGCAGAAGGUACCCAAGGCGCCCGCACCCCACCCCCUCGGAAUUCUGUAAAAUAUAAAAAUAUAUAUACAUCCCACUGUAUUUUAAACUUGUCUUUGUACAACUGUUUUUAUUCUUCAGAUGUAAGUAUUUGUCAGUGAUACAGCAGUGUCUUUCUGAGCUUCUGAAUCUUCUUGAAGUAGUGCCAGAGGAGGAUUUCAGUGAUUAGAACAUGAAUAAGUAUAGCACUAGGAAGACAAAGCCUUUGCUUUUGGGAGACAACAGAUAGCGAGGCUGUGUUUUGUGCAGAAAGCGUCCUAGGAUCCUUUUCAUGCAGUGUACUUGCUCAUCUUAGAGAAAGCAAUGACAUCAGUCUUUGAAAAGUAAACUGUUUUGAAUUAUUGACUGGCGACCAUGCAUUCAGUGACUGAGAUGAAUACGUGUGUGUCCACUGACCAGAAGCCGGAUUAAAAUGAACAAAAUCCCUCACUAAAUGGAUCAAGAAGACAAGAAGUUUAUUCUCUGAAAUGAUGUCAUAGCAGAGUGCAUAGAAAGGGUACAGAGAGGAAAAAAUGGGUUUUUUUCUUCCUGUUUCCAGGAUUGAUUUGCACACUAUUUAAAAGAAAUUGAAGCUCUCCUUACGUAAAUUUGUGUCCUAUCUUUAUACAAAUCAGAUGUAUUUUUUUAUUUCUGGCGUACAGACUUGGAAAGUAUUGUGGCUCUGUAUUAAAGAAUUCUGACAAGAAAAGUGCAUCACAAUCUUCCAGAGUUUUCAGAAACAUACAGUUGUAACACAAGACUUAUCAUCCAGUGGACUUUUCAUGCUAUGAAAGAAUUGAGUAUACUGUGACCAUAAAUGGUUAAAUUUGUGCUCUAGAUUUACUAACGUUUGAUGUUUUCAGAUACUGAGUGGUGAUUGUGGGUAACACUUACCUGGCAAUUGAAAUGAUUUUUCUCAGUCAUCUCAAAACAUAAAUCAGAAAUGUUGAUCCAGAAAACUAAUGAAUUUAUUGUGAAAUAAACACUCUUAAAUCAUGUCAGCGUAUUAGUUAGACAUUUUACAAAUGUAUACAAGAUUAGCUUAAUUUAAUUAGCCAAGAAAGCAUUAGUAGUGCCUUAAGAGCUACUUGAAGGCACUGUGAUAAUUGUAACACGCGAUCCUAGCUGAAAGUAGUACUGCCAACAUCGUUCAACGUACUCGUUGGCAACCUAGAGCUCUCCAUUGUACUUAAUUGCCAAUAGGAGCAAACACGGGCUUGAGGAUUGACAUCGAGUGCUGUAGUGUGGGAAGGUAUAAAGCUAAGCGGCAUUUUUGUGCUCUGUAAUAACAAUAUAUUUCAGUGUCUCUUACUGUAAUUUCUCAGUCUGUAACAAAAAUAUUUUUUUCUGAUUUCUGAGUGAUAAUGCAGCCUUUGUAGCAUAAGCUUAUUGCUAUGUUCUACUCCUUAAAAAGUCUUUAAUGGACAGCUAUUGAAAACAUAGAAAAUUAACUUUAAAAAAUUUACUAUUACUUCUCUUGAAAUACUAGCUUUAAACAUAGCCCUUAGAGUUUUCUAAAAUUUAAUUUUUCCUUUAUGAAAGAGCCUGAUUCAGGUGAGCAGAUUUUCUUCGUUGUGUUUGCAAUGUAUCUUACACUGUCCUGGAUGUUCUGUGGUUUAGGAUAAAGCUAUAGGAAAAGUUCGAGUUUCCUUCUUAAGCUGGAGAAAUUACACUAGCUGGCUACCUGCGUGUAAAGCUCUUAAGGGAACAAAAGCUCCUGUCAGGUAUCUAUGCAUUGUCUUACUGUUUGAGUUUACAGUAACAUCAGUAAAGUGCUGAGGCUAACAUUUUCACAGGUCUUUGAAAUAUGUCCUGAAGAAUAGAGCCUUGCUAAGUUACUCCAAACAACUUCAUUUAAAGGUAGAUUCCCAAGAAAGCUUGUCUUUUCAGCGUGUAAUAAAAUGUUGGGUUCUUUCUGGUUUAGUGGUCCGCUGCUCUUUUGGGACUUGGCAGGAGAAAAUCAGUGAUCUAAAAUGAAUCGUGCCGUCUGUUCCUUGGUAGCGUGGUACUAAUACACCUGUGAACAGUGGGAAAUUGAGCAAUUGUUGGAAGCAAUCUAUGUCCAAGAUUCUGUCAAAAUACCCUCCAGUCAGCAUUUGUAAUCCUUCCAUUGUUCCAGAGGGGUGUCCUGAGUUUGAUUUCUUCCCGUGUACCUUUUGCCAGUCAAGUCUGGGCUGCUGUCAGAAGUCGGGACACCUCUGAAGCACACGCGGUUUGUUUUGGGAGGCAGUCGCCCAUCCUGUUGGAAGCUGGCUAUCUUUGUUGUCACGCUGCUACAGGGCCUUAAAAGGAAGCAAUCUAAGGACUAAUCCAGGGAGUGAAUAAGACCUCCAAAGAAUACUCAGGAAAUGGUGUUGAUGUUUGGUGUACUGCAUUGCUUCCUCUGAAAAUUGGGUUUGUCCCAAAGUAAUAUUAAUAAAAGCUGCUUCUCCAA
Long non-coding RNA from Falco peregrinus (peregrine falcon), 3326 nucleotides. RefSeq lists it as uncharacterized. The transcript has 2 exons. Lineage: Eukaryota; Metazoa; Chordata; Aves; Falconiformes; Falconidae. The record is from RefSeq and is a predicted model, not a curated record.